This 277-nucleotide microRNA precursor is filed under the name Brassica napus (rape). Lineage: Eukaryota; Viridiplantae; Streptophyta; Magnoliopsida; Brassicales; Brassicaceae. The record is from RNAcentral.
GUUUCAGGCAGUCUCCUUGGCUAUCUUGACAUGCUUUUUUCUUCCAUGUUAUACCUUCUUUCUUUGUAUUUUUCGAAUCCAAAUAAUAUUUUUUUCUAUAAAUUUACUACGAAAAUCCUUUAAACAAUCUCUAACAAAGUAUGUUAUUAGAAAACUACCACUUUUUGCAUUUAUUACAAAUGCAUGUACGUGGUGAGUGUAUGCAUUCUUUAGAAGGAAAUGUCAAAGGUGAAUAGAAGAAUCAUAUUUGGUAGCCAAGGAUGACUUGCCUAUUUCU